CUGGUGUUGAAGCUCAAUGGUAGAGCACUUGCCUAGCAUGUAUGAGGCCCUGGCUUGGAUCCCUGACACUGAA
This 73-nucleotide transfer RNA is filed under the name Marmota monax (woodchuck). RNAcentral's name for it is "tRNA.Ala". Lineage: Eukaryota; Metazoa; Chordata; Mammalia; Rodentia; Sciuridae. The record is from RNAcentral.